RNAcentral lists this unclassified non-coding RNA (335 nucleotides) under soil metagenome. RNAcentral describes it as "partial contains 5.8S ribosomal RNA, internal transcribed spacer 2, and large subunit ribosomal RNA". The stretch from base 1 to 120 matches the Rfam family "5.8S ribosomal RNA", at positions 35 to 154 of the family's 154-position model. The record is from RNAcentral.
GAUGAAGAACGUAGCGAAAUGCGAUAAGUAAUGUGAAUUGCAGAAUUCCGUGAAUCAUCGAAUCUUUGAACGCACAUUGCGCCCCCUGGUAUUCCGGGGGGCAUGCCUGUCCGAGCGUCAUUGCAACCUUCAAGCGCGGCUUGUGUGUUGGGUCUCGUCCCCCGUGGACGGGCCCGAAAGGCAGUGGCGGCGUCCCGACAUGGUGCCCGAGCGUAUGGGAAUCCUCUUCCGCUCGAAUCGGCCCAUGCGGCGCUGGUCGUAACCAAAUUUUUACCGGUUGACCUCGGAUCAGGUAGGGAUACCCGCUGAACUUAAGCAUAUCAAUAAGCGGAGGA